AAGACCACCCAUCCUCAGUGUGUUGAACUGCGAGUCUUCUACGCUGGUUUUCAACAAAUACUUGCUCCAUCUGGCUUGAGGAUUCCAUUCUUCGCGUUUGUGGGAGAAGACCUUUAAAAGAAAACGACGUUGAGGGCAAUUUGGAAGAUAAACUUCUUAUAGAAGAAAAAAAAGACCUCAAGAGGGAGGUGACAUGGAGCUUGGAAGGGCGAGGAUACAUCAGAGAGGAGACGUUGCUGUGAGCCUGUUUCUCUUGGCUGCCUAUCAAGUAGCAAUUACCUACCAGCUCCCUGUAUCUCUUCCCAACAGAAACAACCUAGUUAUCCAAAUAUGACUCAUCCACACCCCCAAACUGACUUUGAUAACAAGAUACCAGAAGAAGCAGGGGGAAGAAUUUUAAAGAUUGUAUGCAUGUUAUGACUCUCAUCUUUUCUUUCUCAUACCAGCCUUGCAGGUAUAAGCUGAUGUGAUUAUAGACAGUCUAUGGUUCAGCUUUACUUAAUUCCUAGGCUCUUUAGAUUAAUAAGAGUAUGACUCAGAAAGCAUGGUCAUUAAAAUGUAUUAUAAUGGAAAUUAUUUAUUUGUGCCAUUCCUUGUUAUAAGGACAUUCCAUACUUUCCAGUUGUCAGAGUAUAAGCUUUGUUUUUGGAGCUAAAAAUAGAGUAGAAAUCGACAACAUUUAACACACUGAAAAAUGAAAUGUUCAGUCACAAUUUGUUUAUUUUCACUUUUUAAAAAGGAAAGGUUAUUGAGGUUUAAAACCCCUGUGAACUUUAUAGCAAACGUAUAACUCAAUUAACUUCGACACAUUCAGUUGUAUUGUAGCUACCAGAAACAAGGUGGAGAACAUUUCCAUAAUUUUGAGAAGUUCCCUUGUACCCCUUUGUGGUGAACAACCUCUGGCAACCUCUGGUCUGUUUCCUAAUUUUCCAGCUUGACUUAUUUAAGAAUAUCAUAUAAACGAGAUGCAGCACAUUAGCCUUUGAGUCUGGCUCCUUUGACUUAGCUUAAUGCUUUUGAAUUUUCAGCUUGUGGUUUACAGUAGUUUCUCAUCAUAUGUGGUUUUGCUUUGCAUGGUUUCAGUUACUCACAGUGAAGUGAGGUCCAAAAAUAUUAAAUGGUAAAUGUCAGAAAUAAAUAAUUUACAACUUUUAAAUUGUGUAAUGUUCUGAGUAGUGUGAUGAAAUCUUGUGCUAUUCCUUCUGGGGUGAGAAUUGCAGUAUACACAACCCAUCCAUUAGUCACUUAGAAGCUCACUUAUCAAAUUGACUGUUGUGGUAUUGCAGGGGUUGUGUUCCUCAAAUCCUUAUGUUACUUAAUAAUGGCCCCAAAGUGCAAUACUAGUGAUGCUGGAAAUUUGGAUACACUGAAGAGAAGUUGUAAAGGUGAAAAUUUAUUAUAGGUAUGUGUGUAUAGAAAAAAAACACAGUAUGGAGUUCUGUACUAGCAGGCAUUCACUGAAAGUCUUGCAAUGUACUUCCCUUGGAUAAGCGUGGGGAGGAGGCUAUUGUUUUGUUUUUAUUGUACAGAUUAAAAAAAAAAAACUAAGGUUCAGAAGUAACUUCUCUAUGUUAACAUAAUAUGUAAAUGUAAUGCCAGGAUAUGAAACCCAGGGAUCACUGACUUGAAAAUUCGUGUUUAUAACCAUGAGAAGGCACUUUCCCCAAUUUCUACUGUCAAGAUGCACUCCAGAUGGGAUAUACUGGAUGUACCUUUAUUUAAUCUUAAUCAAGCUUACCUCCCUGAUAAAGGCGAUACUAACAAAGAUGUUCUCCAUUAUCAAGCAAAAUAUCAAGUCAUCAUAAAUAUCAAGGCCAGUGUGCAAAAUGUUAAGGUCUUUAGCAGCAUUAGAGAAUAUUUGGGAGAAACAAGCUUUUUACUAUGCAGUAUAAUUUCACAUGGGUGACAAGUUGACUCUGCCAGUUUCACUGUGAACUGCUUAGCAGGAUUCUACAACAAUUUUAGUAUGUGUAAGAAUAUGUACAGGACUUUAAAAAAAUAGCUACAAGACAAAGCUAUGUGGUAAAAAUAGUGUUAUGUGCUAUUUAAUAAUUUAAAAAAUUUAUUUUUCACAAAUACCAAUGUUCUUGUCAAAAUUAUUUUUGACAGAUUAUAUUUAUUCAACCAUUGUAGCACAGUAUCAGUCAAGAGAGUAAUUCUUUAUCAGGUACUUACUGUAUCUGAGAUAAUUUAAUAUAAAUGUUUAAUGAGGUAUUGGAGGAUUGAAAAGGUAUGAAGAUCACUAUGUAUUGAGGCUUUUCAGGAAUGAAGGUUUGGGUUGCCACUCAACUAGAUAAAGAAUUCUAACCAGCCAAGAUCCUGGCUGGAGUAAGGAGGGAAGAAUGGACAGAGACAAAGCUUAAUACCAAGGACAACUGUCUCAUGAUAACUUGUCUUGAAUCAAUGUUAUUGGAUAUGAAAACUUUUAUUUCUGCAGGAUAAGGACAAUGCUCAUCUCACAUUAUGAACAAUGCAAUCCAUCCCAGGGAUUUGGUUAACUUUAUUAGACAAUAAUUUCAAAGAUCGUGUUUCUGAACAGCAGCCACUCCAGCACUAUUACACACAGUAGGAACUCAGUCCUCACCCAGCAAUAGCUGUUUCAGGGCUUCACAAUGAGGCAUGUUGGGUCUUCAAUGGGGGACUAUCUUCUAAUAAGAGAAGCUGGUACAAAUGUCCACAUAUAAAGAGGUAGUGAACUACAGUGGAGAGCUUCUCAGAUGUGGUAACACUUGGUAUCCAGUUGGUUAUGGAGCCUGGACUGUAAAAGAAGUCCAUUCAUAUUGAAAUAUGGCUCUUGUAAUUGAUUUGAGGGUAGUGUAUAAUGUAGAGGGAAUCCCAAAUGUCAUGCUAACCAGGGUUCCAAUCCUGGGAGAAACUGGAGCUCAACUCAAAGGUAUUGAGGAAGGUUGCUAUUUGGUGGGCAUGGGUAAUCCAGGAGACCACCAGGGAACACAAGUAGUUUUAGGGGGACAUAUUAACUCUAGCCUCUUUUUUUCCCCUUAUAGUAUUACCUAGCAGAGUACUAAGUAAAGCCGGCUGGGUUAUUAUUGGCUAAGGGAUGGCACUGGGCUAACCCUGAAAAUACCAGGUCUUUAGUACUGAUCCCUGGGGAGGAUUGUGGAAAGCAGAGACCUAGAGUUGCCCCUUUGAUCACACUGGCAUCAUCUGAUAGACACCAAGUAAUUUUGCCGGCCUUGAUAUUUUACUGGGCUGGUUAAGUUUGGAAAGUAUCUUUUAAGCAAUAUAGCAAUUGGAAUGAAGUAAUAUAGGAAUAAGGGCAGGCAAAUGUGAGUAGACAAUCAGAAAAUGUGGAAUUUCCAUUUUUAUUUUUUUGGGUCUUAUUUGAAAUAUUUUAAACUUCCAGGACUGAAAUAGUUUAAAGCCAAGAGAGAUGGGAGCUUACUACAUAUUGCAUAUCUUUAAGAAAGUAUAAGACUGGGGAUUUCUGAACCUUUUUAUUCAGUGAGAUUGAUUAAUUUGGUCUGAGCAUACCCACAAGAUUAAGUAAAGAAAAACUCUGACAAAUUCAGAUAGUUUGCAUCAGUAAGAAAGUUUAUUGAAAUUCAUUAGUAAAUGAGAACAGAAAGUUUUUCUUUUUUCUUUUUCCAUGAAAAAACACUUUCUGGCAAAGUGAAAAGAAGAACUACAGAAAUCACAAAACACCUUUUAGACACCUUAUUUUCAAGGAGUGAACCUGUUUCCACAGACCAUUAAGACAGAAGUGUUGAACAUUUUGCCAUGCAUCUGUUAUAUAAUGGCCUGUGCGAAGGGAGACUCUUUCGUCUUGAUGCUACUUAUUAGUAGUGCUUCUUGGUUUCUGAUUCAACCAUAGAUGAAAGAACUCUACCAUCAGGUGUCACUUCUUCAAUAAUUGUCUUGAUCACUCUGGUUUUGUUAGUAUCUGUGAAUAAUAAUAAAUAAAUUAGAAUUUAGGUUAAGCAAUUUGUAGGUAUCCUUGCUAAUAAACAUGCAAAUAUUCAAAAGGAAAAACGAUAUUGCACUUUUUAAGAAAGGAAAAUUCAAAUUUUCACAUUAAAAAUAAUCCAAUCAAUGUUUACUCAAAAGUGCGUUUUGUUAAAAAAUGCAAAUGAAAACCCUAAGAUUUUCAUUUUUAAAAACAGCCCUAGAGCUGAGGAAGCACUAAAACCAUCACGUAGAGUUAAAACUAAUUCUGAUUACCCCAGAGAUUUUCUGCUGACCUUGGUCCCUUAGAUGAGACCUCUCCAGCGGACCCGGAAGAGGAGGAUUUGAAGCCUCCGCUUCCGCUCUGGCCUCCGCCGGAGCUGCCACCGCCAAAGCUGCCGCAGAGGCCGCCGCCGGAACUGCCGCCGUGACCACCUCCACCGGAGCUGCCGCCACCGAAGCUACCGCCGUGGCCGCCGCCGGAACUGCCCCCGUAGCUGCCGCCGCCGUAGGAUCCGCCUCUGGAACUAAGAGGGGUGAGGGUCCUAAGCAGUGAUCUUGUAACAGUGGAAAAGGGUGGCUCCCUCUCUGGUGAUUGUUAUUUUAGUAGAUAAGCCAAGGUUUUGAGAGAAUACAGUACUGCCAAGCACGUGUUUUAAAACCCACUGUUUAAAACAAACUUAACUACACACAGCCCUGAGAUUCAUUCACUCCUUUUUCGGUACCCUGCCUCCUCCUUACACCUCCCUUCUUCCCAUCCUCUGGCAUUUCCUUGGGAGUUUGGAUAAGCCUUGCUAUUCAUAAUAUUGAAUGAAAACAAUUGGGAUUUUUUUUUUUCCCCAGUUUUCCAAUUACCUUCCCUCUCCUUCUAGCAGGCUGCGGUAGGUUUGAAUUUCAUUCUCCAGUCGGAUCUUAAUAUCCAGGAGUUGUUGGUAUUCAGCGUUCUGGCACUCGGUUUCAGCUCUAAUCUGUUGCAGCUGUUCCUUCAGGGAGGUGAUCUGGCCCUGAAUCUGUGAGAGCUGCACACAGUAGCGACCUUCCGUUUCUGCCAAGGAGGCUUCCAGGGAUUGUUUCUGAAAAGAGGAUUUUGUUGUUGCUUAAUGACCUCGUUGUUCAAUUGGCAUACUGAAGCUUAUCAAAUUAUUUAAUAAGAUACUACUGGAGAAAAAGGGAAAUGAAUAAAAUUAGUGUUUUAUGUAAUGGCAACAUUUCAAUCUCAGCACUUCAUACUGAUACUAAUAGUUCUUUUCCUCCAUUAGCAUAGAGUUCCAGUUUUAUUUCUGCUUUCUUAUCCUCAGCUCUGUGUUUCUAUGAUAAAAUGGAAGUCAUGUCUCAAGACUUAACAUACCAGGGCCAGUUGGGACUGUAGUUCAAUCUCUAGACCUUGAACCGUGCGUCUCAAUUCAGUAAUUUCGGAUUUGUGGCUGGACAUUUGUUCAAUGUUGUUAUCGAUUUCUGUAGUCAGUUCCUUGCUCUGGAAUUAUAAAAAUGGGAAAAUAUGAGAAACCUCGGACAUGACAACAGAACUUACAUGGGCUUCACUGUGAAGGGUGGUUGACUUACCUUUUCAUUGAACCAGGCUUCAGCAUCCUUUCUGUUCUUUUCAGCAAGUUGCUCAUAUUGGCUUCUCAUGUUAUUCAGAAGUUCAGUCAGAUCAACACCUGGGGCAGCAUUCAUUUCCACAUUCACGUCACCAGUAGAUACGUUCUGAAGGUCUCUCAUUUCCUGUUUGAGGAACAAAAAAAGAUUUAAUGACUGCACCAUGACCACAAUGAACCUUUUGAAAAAUUGGGGGAAAUAUAAUUUUGUAUCACCUCUUCAUGGUUCUUCUUCAGGUACUGCAGCUCUUCAGUCAGGCUCUCGAUCUGCAUCUCCAGAUCAGCCUUGGUGAGGGUCAGCUCGUCCAGCACCCUGUGCAGGCCGUUGAUGUCGGCCUCCACGCUUUGUCGCAGGGUUACCUCAUUCUCAUACCUGCAACAAGCAUGAUACAUAUAUUGGAUACAAUUCUUAAGAAGGAGUUGUAUGUGGAAAAAGACUUUAAAAAAUUUAGAGUUGAUUUCAUGUCCUUGCAAUAUUUACCAUAUACUAACUCACAUAGGAAGAUUAGCAAUUACUUUAAAUGCAUUUUCUUCCUUUAAAGCUUACCAGGAAGGUAAUUCUGAAAUUGAAACUUUCUCAGAUAAUUCCAGUUCUGUCACUUUGAAUGAAUUCAGGAAAAUGUAAAUGCUACUAUGGCAUCUAAAGUCACUAUUACAAACAAUUGAUGUAUUUGUAUUGAUAGUAUUGCACAUUCAAUUAGCUUACUUCAUUCUGAAGUCAUCAGCUGCCAGCCUGGCAUUGUCAAUCUGAAGCAGGACGUUGGCGUUGUCCGUUGUUAGGUUGAGGAUCAGGAGGAACAGUCAUUUAAGAAAAGGUCAGAUGCAAAUAUGGCUUUUAUAGUGGCAUAGAUAAGCUGCAUUUUUAUGUUGUUCUCUUCCAAAAACUUUUUGUGUGGAUUAUUUUUAAAUAUAAAAUAUUUUAAGCUUACCCACAAACUUAAAUUUAAAAACCUAUCUUGAAGUUUCUACACUAUUCUAUUUCUGUGUCAUCCCUUUCUGAAAACUAACUAUAUGUAAUCCUAUUAAUGUAUUAGCCUCUUUUAUACUUAGUGAUUUUUAUGUAUUUCAACCAACUUUUGACUGGCUCACCCCUGUAUUUGUUCCAUUUGCUAUAAAUAUUUCUAAAUAGAUAUACUCUGAACUGGUAGGUACAAUUCACAGAUUCCCUGGAGUUAAGCAAUAUCCCAAUUCCAUAAAGGAGACUUCAUGGAUUUUGCAAUGUUGCUAUUGAAUAUGGCUUAUUUGUUAUCAGUCUUAAUAAUAUUUUUGUUCUUAUUCAUUUAAUAUUUUUCAGCUCUUACAUUUUUAAAUGAUCUGGCAUAUUUAACUGUGGGCUCAUUAUAUGUUCAUUAAAAUCUAAAAUUCCUUGUUAAUCUGCAUCAUGUAAGACAGACAAAACACAUGCUGGAUGAAGAUUGCCAUGACCAUACCUUCAUUCAAUUUAUCCUUGAUGAGACUGGAUUUAUUUGGAAGCAAGAAAAUCACAGUGAACAGCUAUAUUAUACUUAAGAUUCAUCUACCCAUAUUACAGGGAUAGAAUUAAAUUUAAAGUUGGAUUUUAAAAUGCUCCUUACCUGAUUUUUCAGUUCUUCAAUGGUUUGGUAGUAUUUGCUGUAGUCCCGAGGCUCCCACUGGCUUGAGUUGCCAUGCUUUUCAUACCACUCCUUGAUUUUACCUUCCAGCUCAUAGUUUGAUUCUUCCAGAGCCCGAACUUUGUCAAGGUAGGAAGCCAGCCGGUCAUUCAGAUUCUGCAUGGUUACUUUUUCAUUUCCAGAGAGAAGGCCACCAUCUCCUCCAAAUCCACCACCAAAGCCUCCUCCAUAGCCACCUCCACCAAAGCUGCCCCCACCGAAACUGCCACCUCCAAAGCUGCCUCCUCCAUAGCCCCCACUUCCAUAGCCCCCACUUCCAUAGCCCCCACCAAAGCUGCUGCUUCCGAAGCCUCCACCAAAGCUACCUCCACCAUAACCUCCUCCUAUUCCUCCAAAGCCAUCUGAAGAGCCCCCAAAACAGCCUCCACCAGAGCUCCCACGGCUAAAAGAGCCACCACUGAAGCCCCCUGAGCUAUAUCCUCCACCAAGGGAGCCUUUGCUGCUUGAAAUUCUGAGGGAUGAUCCUCCUCCACCUCCUCCCCUCCACUGCGGGAGGAAGAGUACUGCUUGCUUGAGCUGUAUCGAACAGACAUGUUGAUGCUGUUGAGCUCAGGGAGUGCCUGCUACCAAGGACAGUGGCAAGCCUUUAUAUACUGAGAGGGUGUGCCUCUCAGAUGUUAGGGUUUGCUUACUUGCAUGGUUUUCUUUUUGUCAACUUAGCAUCUUUGACUCAUGAUUGCAUAAAUUAUCUUCAGUAAUAACCAAUACCAAUAUGUAUGCUUUUGAAUAUGCCCUAAGAAAAAACAGGAGAUUUACUAUGUUGAAAUUGAAAAAUGGGUGGAGUUCAGAUGAGCAUGUUUCAUUAUUCUUUUUGUCUUUUGAAGAACAUUGGGCAACUAUUAAAAUCCUUUUUCCUCAGCAUUAAUUAAGUUUGCACAGAAUGUUUGCAAAGUUUUGGGGAAAAAAAUUUAGCUACAAAAUUAUGGUUAAAAUAAGAUUUAAAUAAUUUAUGCUUUAAACUGUUUUAAUUAAUUGGAACAACAAGUAGCAUGAAGACUACCAGAAUCAUGCUAUAGUAAGAAUAUCUUGUAAAAACCUUUAACCAACCAAAAAGAAAAUAAAAACAUAUGGAAAUAAUUUAAUUAGCAUCCAAGAGUUGCUGCAUAUAAGAAGUAAAAGCCUAAAAAGCACAAUUUAGGAAACUAUAUGUAUGUGUGUGUGUUAGGGAAUCUUUUAUUUGGAGAGUGAAAAUAUAUUAAUAUAUAUUUUUAAAUUUUUUUAAUUGUACAUGGAUAUAAUACCUUUACUUUAUUUAUUUGUAUGUGGUGCUGAGAAUCAAACCCAGGGCCUUGCAUGUGCUAGGCGAGCACUCUACCACUGAGCCACAACCCCAGCCCAUAUAUUAAUAUUUUGUCUAAAAUAUUGGAAGUAAAUAUUGAUUGAGAAAUUUAAAAUUUAAUGAUUUCAUUGUUUUUAACAUUAAAAAAUCUGAAAUAUGUAGGGUAGAAACUGGUCACACCAGAAAUGCCAAUCAAGUGAUUUUAGAGUGGGAAAUUUGUAUCAUGUAUCUGCCAACCUGGGGCUGAGUUUCUACUAGGUAGGCAAUCAAUCAGUCAUGCUUAUCUAAUGCAGCCCUAAUAAAAUUUCUGCACAUGGAGACUUGGGUCAACUUGCUUGGUUGGCAAUACUCUCUCUAUGUAGUCAUAUAUAUCAACACUGAGAAGGUACCAUAUCCUGAGACAUUUGGAACCCUCCGUGUCCUUGCCUUACAAUAAACUAUAACCACGAGUAUGAUAGCCAAAAAAAAUCUGAAAUAUGACAUAAUCCUGGGUUAUUUUGUUUCUAAAUUCCUCAUAAUUAAAUUUUUUUAAUGAAGACUAGCAUACAGAAAUUCUUAGCACAAGAACCAAAAAAUCUAAUCUCAAUACUAAUUUCUAGUACCUUACAAUAAGUUUUGAUUGACCAGAAAAAGAGAAUUUAGAUACGGUAGUUUACAAGUAAAUAUUUGCUUGCAAAAAUAUAUAUCCAUGGUAAAGAGUACUUGCUUAAAAAGUUAUGAACUAUAGUUGUAUGUUUCUUAAUAAACAAAACAUUUUCUUAGGUGUACUGUUUACAGAAUCUGGUAUAACAGUUUGUCUAGUGAAGUAUUUAAUUGAAACUUUAUUAAUGCAUGAUAUGAAAUUUUGUAAUGCUUUUUGUGAUACUAUAAUGUAAAAUACUCUGGAACAAACUGCUGAGGAUAGAGAUGGUGGUUAUCAUCUGUAAUUUGUAUCUCAGGAAGCUAAAGCUGAGAGAGGUGAUGAUUUUUUUCCUAAAGGCAUGUAAUAGAUGGUUGAACUGAUUAUAAGUUUGGUUCCUUGACUUUGACUUUCUUAGUAUAUCAAUGUGUAUAUGUAUUCUCAGUUGUGGUGUAUUUGGUCUGAUAGAACUGAAUGUCUCUAAUUCUUACCAUGAACUUCUCCCCAUGGAAACAAAAUAAAACAGGAAUAACUUGAGAAGCUUGAAGAUAUUGAAAGAAUAGGGAUUUGGCACUCAUUAUUAUAUUGAGAAUUGCCUUUUUAAAUUAAAUUUAUAGCUGUAUCUUCAAGUUUAUGAUCUAAAGAAAUAGUUUCUGCAGGGAAAGGGAAUGUGGUUGAGAGCAUUAAUGAAGAGUUGAUUGUUAGAGUGGAGAUUACUACCCAACAAAUUGCAACUCCUCCAACUUGUUGGUACAUGGUGCAGGUGGAAUUUAAGCUGAGCGUUGGGAAGGAUAAGUGGGGUUUUUCAAUGUGUGCAACAUAAUUGAGAGAACUGUUCUGGGAAGUGGGGACUGUGAAUAUGCCAAGCUGGUAGAGACUCCAAAUGGACCAGUUCGGCUGGAACAGAUUGUUCAUAUUCGUCAAUGUAUUCAUUCCUUCAACAGGUUUUAUUGAGCACAUGCAAUUUGACCUGGGUUUACAUAGGUGACUAAGAUAUAGUUCUUGCUCCUUGAGGAGUUCAUAGUCAACCUGGAGAGGCAAACAAACAUACAUAUGAAUCAGGGAUAAUAAUACAGAGUCAUCUAGGCUACAUCUGAGGCAUGGGUAGGGGGCUGAGGGAAUGCAGAAUGGCAUUCCAUCAAUCUGGUGAAAGGAGACAGGCAGGGAAAGGAGGUGUACACUUGAUGGAUUCUAUGUCCUCCUUCUCUCCAAAGUAGGAAUAAUAACUUUUGCUUAGCCUAUAGAGUUAUACUGGGGAUCAAAUGAGUUUAAUUAAUAUAAAACAUUUAAAACAGUGGUUGUCAUACAUAGAAUAAGAGCUUAAUAAAUGGUUUUGUUUUCAUUAUUACUUUUACUGUAAUCUCUGUUUCUUAGAGUCUGACCACUGUCCAAUCCACAGUCAGCCUGCAAAAUAUGAAUGAAUGAAAGGAUAGAGUUGGAAGUUGGAAAAUGGCCAGUGAGGAGGAAAACAUGGCUUUGCAGGAGAGUAAGGGCCAGGGGAAGCUGUUGAGUCUGACUGCUAUGUAAUGAACUACACCAUCCGUUUUUCACUGGAUGAUACUUUAAUUUCUGACUUCAUUCUUUUUUUCCUGCACCCACCAAGUCACCAUUUUUUGUUGCUUUGGCCAUAUCUGAUGUAUUUCUUUCUUUCUCUAAUAUCACUGCAAACCCCUAAUCCGGCUUUCACCACUUCUCUCAGGAUUACUUCACCAGCUUCUGAAGUAUUUUUUUUUUUUUUUUUUUGGCUCAUCACUAUGUCAGUUAAGUUCUAUCCAGUUCACUGUGGCAUGAUUAGUAAUGUUCUUAAAAAAGUAUUGUCAUCACUUCACCAGCAUUCUCAAGCCUCUGUGGAUGGAUUGUCUUUCCUAUAAUGUUGCUUGCUCGUCCAACCUCAUGCCCCUGCGGUAAGGGUGGUAGAGUGGAAGGAGUGCUGCAUUCUCCUCAGGAGGUGAUUAUGUGGCCUUGAGCAAGACACUCAGCCUUUCUGUGUCUCAGUUUAUUGUCCCAUAAAAUAUGGAUAAUACUAAUAUUAAAUAUUAAAAUAUAUAUGAUGAUAAUAAAUAAUUAUAAUCUGUGAUCCAAGGGAAAAUGUUAGCAUUUCCUUAAAAAAACCCUUUAAUUAUAAGCAGACCUUUCUUUUCGCUCUGGACCAAGACAUUAUGCUUUGUUCCAUUUAGGACCUUUGUUGCUCUUGGUGAGGAGUGCCUUUUUUACCUUUCGCUGGCUUAUUCAAAUCAUUCUACCUGAGCUUCAAACUCAAGCUUAAAUGUCAUCUCCUUCAUGAGAUUUCUCACCAUUAGUCUACUUCAUGGCCAUCUCUUUCUUCCCAUUUCCUGUGUUGUACAUCUGAUUAUUUUAUAAUAUGUUAUAAUACUCUGGCUUCAUUAUUGUUCCUAAUGCAACAUGGUACUUAACUUCUUCCAUAGAAGGGAGGGUGCCUUAUAGUCUUCCUGUACUGCUGGGUACUCAGUGUUUUCUGAAUAUUUUCAUAUCACUUUAUGCCUUUUCCCACUUUUUUCUUCACCUUUAUUUUGUUCUCUCAACUUUUGUCCUAUAUAUUUUGCUAUUGCCAAAAAUUUAAACAAAGACUGGUUGGAGACAACUAACUUAAUUUUGCUUUGAAAGAAAUGAUGCUUUUAGAAUUGAGGAUAUUGUGUAAAAAUGCUAAGAAAUCUAAGAUUCUACAUAGGAAUUUUGAGAUAGCUUAAAGAAUAUAAAAUAUAUACCUAGAAUAAAUGUACUUUAUAUAUGUAAUGUUUCGUAAAGAAAACAUUUUGACUUUCACUUUUUCUUCUUCAUUAAUGGUUAUUUUUUUGGCCAUGAAGUUACUGAGAUGAUCUUGAGGCUAGUAAACCAUUAAAAUCUGUGGUUCUAAUCUAAAAUUUGAUUUUCAUAUAUUAGGAGAAUAGAAAGUUCCGGUUGGGUUUCUGGUUAGCUAGCCUAUAAGUAUGAUGUAAUUUAAGGAUUAAAUAUAACACGACUUAACUUUUAAACUUCGUUGACCUGUCAUAGGUUUCUGUUUUUGGUUAAGUUCAUUCUGUGAAAGACAAUUUCUCAAUACAAAUAACCUGCAUUAGGAGAAGUUAUUGAUAUAGAAUAGAAAGCAGAAAUAUAAUACUCUUUUUAGUUUUCAUAUAAGAUAGUAAAAACUGAAAGUACUAAACCAACCAACCAAUCAAACUCUACAGACCCCAGUGUUAAAUAUUGAAAUUAAACAUUGUCAAAAAUUCAGUGGCUAUUUCUCCUGCCUCAUAAAUUUAAAAAAAUUCCUUUAGGUCCAGUUGUGUUUUUCAUCCAAAUCAAUAAUUUCACGGAUGGCUGCGUGUGGACCAUUGGCACGUUUGGAUAUAACUUCUUGUUAAGUUUUAGCUAGGGAGUUUGGGCCAAUCUAAAUAGAAUGGAGAAAAUUUUAGAUUAGAAAUGGUGCACACUGAGGUUAAAGUUCAUAGAGAAAGUAAUAAUCCCCUACUCUGAUGACUUUAAGUGAAUAUAUGUGAGAUAUAUAUAUAUACAUUUAAGGGAAAAGUCUUAUGAAGUUAAAUUAAUGUCUUAAUUUUAUUGUUUAGAGAUUUUAAAAAAUGCUUCAUAACAAAUGAAACUCCUUCUUUGAAUCACUUUGGGAGAGGUUGGAAUUGCAGAGGAAAAGAUUUAAAUCAUUAUUUAAAUGUAACAUAUGGUAAAGGGGAAAUUUAUCAUAAUCUUUUUGGCUCCUCAGGGCUGAUGGUUGAUAAUGCCCAAAGACCAUUUAAUUUUUUUGGAUUACACAAAUUUGCAGAUAACAUUGCAAAGUUAGUUCUAAGAUUGAGUUUAUAGAGCUAUUCAGACUUUUUUAUGAUCCAGGGCCUGUGCUAAGCAUUUACCUGCAUUUUUCUCAUUAAAUCCUGAUAUCAGCUUUAUGAGGUAGCUUUUUAAAACAGUUAUUAAAGUAAGUGAUUUGCCCCAAAUUAUUCUAUAAAGGGGCUCCACUGGGAUUUGAACACAGGUAUAUCUUCUGAGCCUUUGCUUUAUUUAGUACAAUGACUCUUUCGAAGUAACCUGAUAUUGUAUUUUCCAGCAUUGUGACUUAGAAAAUUAUUAAGUACAUAAGGGAUUUUAUUUCCCUUUUCAGAGUGGACAAGCUUUCUUUAUUAUCAUUGUUUUGUGAUUAAAAACACUCUAA
Long non-coding RNA from Marmota monax (woodchuck), 13210 nucleotides. RefSeq lists it as uncharacterized. The record is from RefSeq and is a predicted model, not a curated record. NCBI's taxonomy places the organism in Eukaryota, Metazoa, Chordata, Mammalia, Rodentia, Sciuridae. The transcript has 2 exons.